This is a long non-coding RNA of Odocoileus virginianus texanus, 5322 nucleotides long. RefSeq lists it as uncharacterized. The record is from RefSeq and is a predicted model, not a curated record. NCBI's taxonomy places the organism in Eukaryota, Metazoa, Chordata, Mammalia, Artiodactyla, Cervidae.
UCCCUGGUAACCAAGGCGCCAACCAGAUGUCAAUUCCCCCUACAACCGGUCCCCUCCCCCUCCCGGUGGGACCGGAGCCUGCUGCUGGGUGCUGCCCACAAGCUUCUGCCGCACACUGAGGUGUCCCUCCAGGACCUUGCUUCAGACGCAGGCUCCCCUCACCCGUAAGAUAAGGCACUGGAAGGGCUGUGUGGGAUCCAGAGGUGCGUGCAGCUCUGCCGCGUGAAGCCGGCUGGACGUGCAAGAUCCAGGUGCUGGCAGGCUUCAUGUCUUCUGAGGCCUCUCUCCUGGGCUUGCAGAUGGCUGCCUUCUUGGUAUGUUCUCACAUGGCCUGUCCUCUGUUCAUGUGCAUUCCUGUAAUCUCUUCCUCUUCUCAUAGACACUAGUCCUAUUGAUCCAAGAUGACCUCAUUUAACCUUGAAAAAGUAAAGUGAAACUGUUAGUUGCUCAGUUAUGUCCGACUCUCUGCAACCCCACGGACUGUAGCCUGUCAGGCUCCUCUGUCCGUGGAAUUCCCAAUUACUGCUUUAAAAGCCCCAUCUCCAAAUUUAGUUAUAUUGGAGCUUAGGGCUCCAACAUACGAAUUUUGAAAGGAAUAUAAUUCAGACCAUAAUGCCAACUAAAAUAUACUCUAUCAUCAACUUAAAUUCCAGAAGGUGGAUAUGAAGAUAAUAGAAAGAUACAAUUUAUACAGUAGCACUACUGUAUAUUUUAGUGAAUUCUAAAUUCUUUGAAAUGUGUUGUGUACAAAAUAAUUCUGUUAACUAAGAAAUAUAAUUAAUGAAAAAUUCCAUUUUUCAGUAAUGCUAAAACUAGAAAGAGUCUGAAUGUAUUUUCUCUACUUUAACCUAGCUGUGCCAUUACAAGGUGUCACACAUACAACUGUGCUAACAGAUACAGUCAUCUAGAAUGCAUAGCUGGAAAGGAAAUCCUCUACUCCAGGGAGUGCCUUAAAAUAAAUUAGGAGGCCCACUCAUUACUUGUCCUUUGUUUUCUACUUUGGAUUACAUCAAACUGACCAAAAUUCCUAUUUAUUACUAGUCCAUUAAAACAAAAGCAAAGUUUAGACAGAGAGCAUUAAUCAAUUCAUAUUUCCAUAAGCACAAAGAUUACGUCAGCCAAUAAAUCACUCAACCAGCUGUGUCUUUUUUAAAAAGGAUUUGUAAAUAAUCAGUUUGACUGAAAUUAAUUGCAUUUUUUUCUUCUCCCAAUCCCUCACACACACAACAGUGUGAAAGUAUCUGGAGACAAAGAAUAAGCUGAGAUUCUGUCAUAAAUAAGAUAACCAAUUUGGCUUACACGCCAAGUAAUUCAUGGUGAGAUCAUUGAGUCCUUAGGUAUAGAGCCACAGCAAAAUGUAGUGCUAAGAAAUUCGAUCACAAAAUUUUCCAAGGGCCAUAGUUUUUCAAUGUGUAAAAAUUCAUCCAUAUAUGAGUACUUUUUUCUUUUGUGAAAGCACCAUCAUAAACCCAAUUAUAUUUCGUAAACUUUUAUCAGAUAACUUACUCAAAUGAUUUCUGACUAUACACUUGUUUGAAAUGUGGGUUUCGAGGAUUGGCUCCAUGAAGCAGAAGUCAUCUCAUGCCCUGAGGCUUCUACUUCAUCCACUACAAACAUCAACAUGGCAAAAAUCCAUGUCUAGAAACUUCCUAAAGAAUGAAGUGUCUUUCCUCUUUAGAAAGUAGCAACAUGAAAGAUGACUGAGAAUGCUAAGGAUUCAAAACCAUACCUUACAGUGUUAACUACAGUCACCCUGCUUUACUUUAGAUCUUCAGACUUUAUUCACCCAACAGCUGAAAGUUUACACCCUUUUACCACGCUCUUCCCAUUUUGGGUGCUUCUUUUCAAUUCUCUAUUUGUAUGAGUUUUACUGUUUUGUUUUUUAAUUCCACAUAUAUAUAUCAUAUCACACAGAGCAGUAUUUGUCUCUGCUUGGCUCUUUCACUUAGCAUAAAACCUAAAGGUCCAUCUGUAUUGUCACACAUACCAUGAUCUCCUGUUUUCUCAUGGCUGAAUAGUAUUCAUAGGAGUGUGUGUAUGUGUGUGUGAUUCUUCAAUAUGAUGUCCUGCAUUUCCAUUUUGCCUUGGGCCCUGAAAAAUUAGGCAGCCAAUCCUAAGAAUAUGUUAUCCUGAGGAUCCGUAUCAAUUCCAACUCUUCACUGAAUGUCGUCUUUAACUCCUUGCCUUCGGUCCUGAUGCUACCGUUUUCUUUGUCUGACACAGAGGAGUUCUGUUUUGGUUUUUCCUGUUAUACGGCAUGUAGCACAGGACCAGGUAAGGCACUGGCUGCUCAUCACUCCCGUCCCACAUGCGGCUUGUACCACCAGACCAAACCACCCGCUGCAUCUCCUUAUUCUCACAUUUUGACCCAGUUACUCCCUUAAAUUUACUGUUGACUCAUUCUCUUCUUCUCCAUCUUGAUUCAUGCGAUCAUUUUUGGUAACUUUAGGAGCAUGUGGAUGAACUAUUUCCUCUGCCUGUCAGCCCCUUCCUUACCUUCCGUCACCUGUUCCUCCGCCUCGUCCCAGCCAGUGAUGCUGGUUGUAUCAGCAGUAGCUCACCACACCUGAAGUCUUAAAACCAGUCACUUCCUUCUCCGGCUGCCACCUGCGUUCAUUCAGUUUUCAGUCUCAGGUACUCAUUUUGCAAGAAUUCUUUAACUUCAAUGAAACAUCAAACCAUUGACUUCACUUUUCACUCUCUUCCAACCUACAUAUAUCUCCUUUUCCCCCUUUAACCAGGCUUUUAAUCCAUGUUUCCUAGUUUAAAUUAUUCCCUUUUAAGUAUUUUAUCUUCUUUGCCUUUUUUUCUCUAGCAUCUUCCCCUUGAAAAAUGUAAACAUUGGCUGAAAGCAUUUAAAAACUUUUUUCAUGCCAGCAUCUGAGAAGCUAAAUGUAAUUGUAGAUUAACAAUUAGGAGAAAUAAAACCACUUCACAUUUGCGCUAAAAUUUUUAUACAGAUAUUGACAGGGAGGUCUGGUGUGCUGCAGCCCAUGGGGUUACAAAGAGUUAGGACUUAGCGACUGAACAACAAAAACAUACAGAUAUUUAACAUUUCAUACAGAUACUUAAAACUUUCAUACAGAAUUGCCUGGCAAUCUGACUGCACUUACAUAGGAGUUUUACUUCCUCAAAUAAAAUCAUAAACAUCUUUAUACUCUUUCUAAACUUUUCUAACUACUGCCCAUUUCUCUGUUCCCCUUCAUUGCAAAACUACUCAGGAUGACUUUCUUAGUACUUAGCAAUUCACAUCCUGUCAUUCACUUUUCAACUUAAUGACACUGUAAGUUUUUUCCCAUCACUCCCAAGAAUCUAUUCUUGUUAGAGUCACUUAAGACCAUCAUCUUGCCAAAUCUGCUAUUCCAUCCUCUUGACAUCCACUAGCGUCCUACGGCCAACAUUCUCUCUUCCUCUGGUUUCCUGAUAUUUGAGGCUUCUCUGUCUUGCCCUUACCUACCUCACUGCUUAGCUCUUCUAAGAUUCUCUCUCCUCUUAAUACUUGCCUGGUGCGAUCCUUGUGUUUGAUUUCCUUGGUAGCUCUUCCAAUUUCACAGUGUAAAUACCAUCUACACCAUGGGGAGAUGGUACCCCAGUCACCCCAGUCUUCCAAGGUAGCUUCUCCAGUCUUCCAAGGAGUAAGAGGACCCCCAAAUCUUAGAACUUUUAGCACGACAACAAGGACAGUCCUGGGCAAACCAGGAUGAUUGUACACACUUUAUCUGUGUGUCAAUAACUCCCCCAAUUAUGCCUCUAGUCCACACACACCUCUCUUAUGAACUUUGUUUUGUAAUACACAUUUCAAACUUAAAUUUGACUAAGACAGAAAUCUUGAUUUUUGCCUUUGAUUUUUUUCUUUUCCCAUUAUCCCCAUCUCCAUAGAUGUCAUCAUAAUGUACCAGUUCUUAUGUCAAAAAGAAAGAAGAAAAGGGAAGGAAACCGGAAAUCACUGAUGAUUCCUCCAGACUCUUCCUUUUCUGUCCUCCAGUCCAGCUGCCACCAUGUGGUCCCAGACACCACCAUCUCCCACCUGCAACAUCACAGCAGUCUCCAACUUCCUGUGUAACUCUUAAUUAAUUGUUUCCAAUCCAUAACUAACCAUGAAAGCUGGGAUAAUUCUGGUUUUAAACUAGAGAAUUCUUCUGUAAAAUAUAUACAAACACUCAUUUCUUUUUAAAAUGUUUAAAUUGUUUCCUACUUCUUUGAGAAUAGCAACCAAACAUCUUCCAGGGCUUAUAACAGUGCUUCUUUAUCAACCUGUGGAGAGGAGAAGUUUGUUUUAGUUUAUGCUUUUGUUUCUGUUCUAUUUCAGCAUGGACUGAGACAAGGUCCUACUGCCUGUGGUUGGAAGCAAUCUGCAACGUGAGAUGCACCAUCCAAGUUCAAACUCACCUGAACUUUGAGUCUAGUGAUCAAGGGCUGGAGUCUCUCCAAUUUGAAGUUGUUGAAAAGGUUUUAAAUUGGCAGGAGAGCUCUAAGUGGGCCUGAAGCACUGACUCCCAGAGCACCAUUUGCAGAAAGGACCCGUCAGGCCUUGGCCACUUCUGCCACCAUCAGAAUACUUCAGCUGAUGCUAUGCACCAGUUUCUAUUGCAGUUCCUGAGGAUACAAUGUCAUAAAGCCAUUUCUGGAAAGUUCUGAAUAGUGGCCUUAAUGCCUAGUUAUUGGUCAAUCUGAAAACAUGGUGCCUUGAGUUCUGCCUUGGAAGAUGCUAAGCAGGAUGGCUGCAGACGGCUGGUGAGGUGUGUCUGAUGUUAUCUGUACAUUCUCCCAGAACAGCUCUAGUUCUGCCAAUUUAUAUAUUGAAAUGCUCAGGAGUAAUCACCAUUCUUAACAGACUGGAUCUUGUCCAGGCCCAGAUUCUUGGACUUCUCUGAAUCUCACAUGAUGGCCCCAGAAUCAAAUUCUAUUAACUGCUAAGGACCACCCAGGAGGAACCCUUAAACUGGAUGUAGACAUCUCAAAUUUCCCAGAGCUCUGUCAAGCUAAAGUGGGUCACCCAGACCACACAGAGGCAGGACAGGAGAUCUAGUGGAGUUUUGGUUUGGACUCAACUUCCGAAGAAUGUGUGAUGUCUUCUCCAGUCUUGAGAAAACAAGCCAGAAAAGCUAGAGCCUGUGCACUCGUGGAAACGGCUUGGAUGCGGUAUAUCCUCCCACCACUCGGCUUCAGUAACACGCGUGCGUAUCAGCUGUCCUCAUCUGAGCAUCACAGCUAUGAAUCCUCAACUGUGAAUUUUCCUAAGAAUCUUGUAAAAGCCAUCUCUCCAAUCUAGCCUACCCAGUAGAUUAAAGAAAACUUUAACUUUGUUUCCUCUCAGUUGUC